CAACGCCGUGGGUGGCCAAACUGCGACCGUUGCCCGCUUUGCAACCAAGUUCAAGAAUCCGCGGCACACCUCCUGUUCAAGUGUCGCUUCUCCAUCCGAGUUUGGAAGGAGGUUCUUGCAUGGCUGCACCUUGAGGUUGACAUCGCCCUUUGGAUGAACUAUGCCACUGUGAGAUCUUGGUGGGAGGAGGUCCUCGCCAACAACGCGCAACCACGGAAAGCCUUGGCCUCAAUCCUCCAUCUUGUUAGCUGGGAGAUUUGGAAGGAGCGAAAUGCACGCGUGUUCAGGACCAAGGCGGCACCGGUCGCAGUGAUCGUGCAGAUGAUUAAGGAGGAGGCUUCUAUCUGGGCUCUUGCAGGAGCCAGGCAUUUGCGUAACUUGAUGCCGCGAGAGUAG
Molecule: ribosomal RNA, 396 nt
Filed under: Triticum aestivum (bread wheat)
Lineage: Eukaryota; Viridiplantae; Streptophyta; Magnoliopsida; Poales; Poaceae
Description: partial small subunit ribosomal RNA
Source: RNAcentral